Molecule: ribosomal RNA, 435 nt
Filed under: uncultured bacterium
Lineage: Bacteria
Description: partial 16S ribosomal RNA
Rfam family: Bacterial small subunit ribosomal RNA
Source: RNAcentral
AGCGAACGCUGGCGGCAGGCUUAACACAUGCAAGUCGAACGGGCAUAGCAAUAUGUCAGUGGCAGACGGGUGAGUAACGCGUGGGAACGUACCUUUUGGUUCGGAACAACACAGGGAAACUUGUGCUAAUACCGGAUAAGCCCUUACGGGGAAAGAUUUAUCGCCGAAAGAUCGGCCCGCGUCUGAUUAGCUAGUUGGUAGGGUAAUGGCCUACCAAGGCGACGAUCAGUAGCUGGUCUGAGAGGAUGAUCAGCCACAUUGGGACUGAGACACGGCCCAAACUCCUACGGGAGGCAGCAGUGGGGAAUAUUGGACAAUGGGCGAAAGCCUGAUCCAGCCAUGCUGCGUGAGUGAUGAAGGCCCUAGGGUUGUAAAGCUCUUUUGUGCGGGAAGAUAAUGACGGUACCGCAAGAAUAAGCCCCGGCUAACUUCGUG